RNAcentral lists this ribosomal RNA (709 nucleotides) under Pseudogymnoascus sp. Its description in RNAcentral is "partial large subunit ribosomal RNA". It matches the Rfam family "Eukaryotic large subunit ribosomal RNA", at positions 88 to 818 of the family's 3401-position model. Lineage: Eukaryota; Fungi; Ascomycota; Leotiomycetes; Thelebolales; Thelebolaceae. The record is from RNAcentral.
GGCGAGUGAAGCGGUAACAGCUCAAAUUUGAAAUCUGGCCUCACGGUCCGAGUUGUAAUUUGUAGAGGAUGCUUCGAGCAUGGUCUGGCCUAAGUUCCUUGGAACAGGACGUCAUAGAGGGUGAGAAUCCCGUAUGCGGCCAGGUGCCUACGCUCAUGUGAAGCUCCUUCGACGAGUCGAGUUGUUUGGGAAUGCAGCUCAAAAUGGGUGGUAAAUUUCAUCUAAAGCUAAAUAUUGGCCAGAGACCGAUAGCGCACAAGUAGAGUGAUCGAAAGAUGAAAAGCACUUUGGAAAGAGAGUUAAACAGUACGUGAAAUUGUUGAAAGGGAAGCGCUUGCAACCAGACUUGCGCGCGGCCGAUCAUCCGGUGUUCUCACCGGUGCACUCGGCCGUGCUCAGGCCAGCAUCGGUUUUGGCGGCUGGAUAAAGGCCCUAGGAAUGUGGCUCCUCUCGGGGAGUGUUAUAGCCUAGGGUGCAAUGCAGCCUGCUGGGACCGAGGACCGCGCUUCGGCUAGGAUGCUGGCGUAAUGGUUGUAAGCGGCCCGUCUUGAAACACGGACCAAGGAGUCUAACAUCUAUGCGAGUGUUUGGGUGUCAAACCCAUACGCGUAAUGAAAGUGAACGGAGGUGAGAACCCUUAAGGGUGCAUCAUCGACCGGUCCUGAAGUUUACGGAAGGAUCUGAGUAAGAGCAUAGCUGUUGGGACCCG